GUACAAUUUCAAAAGCACUUACACUAAAGUUAGAACAAUAUGGAGAAGGUUAGCAUGGCCCCUGCACAUGAAUGACAUGCAAAUUUAAGAAGUGGUCCUAAUUUUA
Molecule: small nuclear RNA, 106 nt
Organism: Camelus dromedarius (Arabian camel)
Lineage: Eukaryota; Metazoa; Chordata; Mammalia; Artiodactyla; Camelidae
Source: Ensembl